Long non-coding RNA from Lolium rigidum, 1995 nucleotides. RefSeq lists it as uncharacterized. The transcript is spliced from 3 exons. The record is from RefSeq and is a predicted model, not a curated record. NCBI's taxonomy places the organism in Eukaryota, Viridiplantae, Streptophyta, Magnoliopsida, Poales, Poaceae.
ACUGUAACUCAGGGAAUACUAGAGUUCCUCUUAGGAUUCUAGACCUUAUGAAGGCUAACCGGUGUGAACCUGAUGAGUGGUCUUAUACUGAAUUGAACGAUGGUUUUUGCAAGAAAAGCAAAAAUGGAAUCGGAUUCUCGAUUGUCCAGUGAAUUGGUGGAUCAUGGGUUAUGCCCAAAUGUAGUUACCCACACUACGCUGAUAAGAGGAUACUGCAAGGACGAUAAACUGGACUGUGCAGCGCAAAUGUUUUAACACAUGAAGGAACAUGGUUGCAGACUAAAUGUUCAGACUUGCAAUUUUUUUAAUCCAUGCCCAAACUAAGCAAAGUAUUUUUUCUGCUGCGGAGAAACCAUGUGAUCUGAUGCUUGAGGAAAAGAUAUCUCCAAAUGUAGUCACUUACUAUGAUUUAUGGGUUGUGGAUAAAUGGUGCCACGUCUUUGGCCCUUAAUGUUGAACAGGAUGGUUGAACAUAGAUGUUACCUAAUUUGCAUACUUACAGUUCUCUAAUCCAACCUAUGGGUCAAGAAGGCAAGAUAGAGGAAGCUGAGGAAUUGUUUUCAGAUAUAGUGAGGCAAGGGCUUACUCCAGAUGAAGUUACUUAUAUCAAGAUGAUUGAAGUUUAUAUAAUGUGAGGCAAAGAUGAUUCACCCUUGAUGUUUAAGGAAAAAUGAUAAAUGCUGGAUGCCAACCAACCUUGUGGACAUAUGCUGUUUUGGUUAAAGGCUUGCAAGAUGGUGGACCAGAAACUUGUCGCCUUGCCUGAUGCAGUCUCUGGCUUGCAAAAUGAGCACGUGAUGGUGAACCAGGAACUUAGGGCCUUUGCCUGAUGCAGUCUCAGACUGUAGCUUUGAUGGCCAAGUCAUCAACAAAGAAGCCAUUUCAGUCUUAUCUUCUAAGUUAGCAGAAAUGGAUGUUGGGCUAUCUUCAUAGUUGUACGAUUGCAUUGCUAUUGAAUCAAGCAGAAGUGGGAGAUGGUUUGCACUUUGCACAGAUGAGCUGUACAGAAGCAUGGUUGGUCAGGGUUUAUGUCCAAACCACGAGGCAUAUAAUUAUUUUAUUAUUUCACUAUUGAGAGCUCUGAAAGUUGACCUGGCUAUGAGCGUAUUCAGGCAUCUGUCUGCUCAAUGUCAUGAACUCCAUCUUGUUUGGUUAUAGAGCACUAGUAUGUUCUUUAUGCCAAUUUCACGGGAGGAAAGAAGACCAAUUUAUUUUUGAACACAUGCUAUUGAGGACUUCAAAUCCUGACAAUAUUGCAUGGGCUGUUCUCAUGGAUGGACUGCUUUGGGGGGCUGGUACAAAGAUGUGUGCAUGGAAUUUCUCCGCAUCAUGGAAAAAAAUCACAAGCCUACAAGUAUUGAAAGAGUAGCUAUCACUAGAAUCUCUUGUUGGCAUAUUGUUCUGCGAUGACUUGGCUCAUGGAAAACUUAUGGCAUAGAGCGAGAAUAUAAAUCCGGAACAUGUUUAGCCCCACAGCCAACAACAGUGUCCAGGGUGCUUGAAGCUGUUGUGAUCCCAUUGUUCCAUAUCUUGGUACUAGGACUGGUAACGCCGCUCUGCGGGAGGCUUUGGAUCACCAUAAUCUUCCAGAUGUGACCAAUUUACCUGCUGCUGUUUUGGUAUUCCUCAGUGCUACGUAUUUCCAUGGCUUUUGUGUUGCGUUUCCAGUGGGAUCAAGGAAUGCUUAUGUGCAGCAAGGUUCAUACCCAAUUAAUCUGUUUUACACGUCAAAUAUGACCAUUACUGACCUCUAUUUCACAUUUUGGCUUCUCUACAGGAAUUACAGUCAAAUUUUCCUGGUUAAUCUUUUGGGUAGAGGAAUGAAUCAGAGUAAUCUGGUCGUUCUGUUCCUGUUGAUUGUCGUACUUAUCAAGGUUGGCUGACAUUCUCGCAAAUUCCAUUCCAUGCAAUGUUUUUCGUGGUCUCCAUGCUGUGAGCUUGUCCUCUCAAAGACAUUGAAGUUUUGGUUCAUCGGCUAAGGAUGUUUCCAAACAG